Molecule: ribosomal RNA, 305 nt
Filed under: uncultured bacterium
Lineage: Bacteria
Description: bacterial SSU rRNA
Rfam family: Bacterial small subunit ribosomal RNA
Source: RNAcentral
CGCGGCCUACGGGGGGCAGCAGUGAGGGAUAUUGGUCAAUGGGCGGAAGCCUGAACCAGCCAAGUCGCGUGAGGGAAUAAGGCCCUACGGGUCGUAAACCUCUUUUGCCGGGGAGCAAGGGCGGGGACGUGUCCCGGCCCGGAGAGUACCCGGAGAAAAAGCAUCGGCUAACUACGUGCCAGCAGCCGCGGUAAUACGUAGGGGGCAAGCGUUAUCCGGAUUUACUGGGUGUAAAGGGAGCGUAGACGGCUGUACAAGUCUGAAGUGAAAGCCCGUGGCUCAACCGCGGAACUGCUUUGGAAACU